AUUUACCACAACCUUGCAUCUGGAAGCCAACACCAUUUAAAACUCUCAUUGUAUUCUUUAAAUCCUUCAAGCUCUGGUCGAUCUGCUUGCCAAGGUGAAUAUAUCUUUUACAAGGGCACAUUUUCAUGGGAUGUACCUACAGAGUUCAGCAGCUGGGAGCAUCCACCCAACACCCAGAAGCUUGAGCAGGAAAAUCAGAGC
Molecule: long non-coding RNA, 201 nt
Organism: Amblyraja radiata (thorny skate)
Lineage: Eukaryota; Metazoa; Chordata; Chondrichthyes; Rajiformes; Rajidae
Exons: 3
Source: RefSeq, a predicted model, not a curated record